GACGAACGCUGGCGGCGUGCCUAAUACAUGCAAGUAGAACGCUGAAGGAGGAGCUUGCUUCUCUGGAUGAGUUGCGAACGGGUGAGUAACGCGUAGGUAACCUGCCUGGUAGCGGGGGAUAACUAUUGGAAACGAUAGCUAAUACCGCAUAAUAGCAGUUGUUGCAUGACAACUGUUUGAAAGGUGCAAUUGCACCACUACCAGAUGGACCUGCGUUGUAUUAGCUAGUUGGUGGGGUAACGGCUCACCAAGGCGACGAUACAUAGCCGACCUGAGAGGGUGAUCGGCCACACUGGGACUGAGACACGGCCCAGACUCCUACGGGAGGCAGCAGUAGGGAAUCUUCGGCAAUGGACGGAAGUCUGACCGAGCAACGCCGCGUGAGUGAAGAAGGUUUUCGGAUCGUAAAGCUCUGUUGUAAGAGAAGAACGAGUGUGAGAGUGGAAAGUUCACACUGUGACGGUAGCUUACCAGAAAGGGGCGGCUAACUACGUG
RNAcentral lists this ribosomal RNA (495 nucleotides) under uncultured bacterium. Its description in RNAcentral is "partial 16S ribosomal RNA". It matches the Rfam family "Bacterial small subunit ribosomal RNA", at positions 28 to 507 of the family's 1533-position model. The record is from RNAcentral.